Molecule: ribosomal RNA, 301 nt
Filed under: uncultured bacterium
Lineage: Bacteria
Description: partial 16S ribosomal RNA
Rfam family: Bacterial small subunit ribosomal RNA
Source: RNAcentral
CAGUAGCCACGGUAAUACGUAGGUGGCAAGCGUUGUCCGGAAUUAUUGGGCGCAAAGGGCUCGCAGGCGGUUUCUUAAGUCUGAUGUGAAAGCCCCCGGCUCAACCGGGGAGGGUCAUUGGAAACUGGGAAACUUGAGUGCAGAAGAGGAGAGUGGAAUUCCACGUGUAGCGGUGAAAUGCGUAGAGAUGUGGAGGAACACCAGUGGCGAAGGCGACUCUCUGGUCUGUAACUGACGCUGAGGAGCGAAAGCGUGGGGAGCGAACAGGAUUAGAUACCCCGGUAGUCCCUGUCUCUUAUAC